CCUACGGGUGGCUGCAGUGAGGAAUAUUGGUCAAUGGGCUUACGCCUGAACCAGCCAAGUCGCGUGAGGGAAGACUGCCCUAUGGGUUGUAAACCUCUUUUGUCAGGGAGCAACGCCGGCUACGUGUAGCCGGACUGAGAGUACCUGAAGAAAAAGCAUCGGCUAACUCCGUGCCAGCAGCCGCGGUAAUACGGAGGAUGCGAGCGUUAUCCGGAUUUACUGGGUGUAAAGGGGGCGCAGACGGCGAUGCAAGCCAGGAGUGAAAGCCCGGGGCCCAACCCCGGGACUGCUCUUGGAACUGCGGGGCUGGAGUGCAGGAGGGGCAGGCGGAAUUCCUGGUGUAGCGGUGAAAUGCGUAGAUAUCAGGAGGAACACCGGUGGCGAAGGCGGCCUGCUGGACUGCAACUGACGUUGAGGCCCGAAAGCGUGGGGAGCAAACAGGAUUAGAUACCCUUGUAGUC
This 461-nucleotide ribosomal RNA is filed under the name uncultured bacterium. RNAcentral describes it as "partial 16S ribosomal RNA". It matches the Rfam family "Bacterial small subunit ribosomal RNA", at positions 338 to 795 of the family's 1533-position model. The record is from RNAcentral.